RNAcentral lists this ribosomal RNA (604 nucleotides) under Alternaria infectoria. RNAcentral's name for it is "eukaryotic LSU rRNA". The stretch from base 218 to 371 matches the Rfam family "5.8S ribosomal RNA". Lineage: Eukaryota; Fungi; Ascomycota; Dothideomycetes; Pleosporales; Pleosporaceae. The record is from RNAcentral.
GUGAACCUGCGGAGGGAUCAUUACACAAUAACAAGGCGGGCUGGACACCCCCCGCUGGGCACUGCUUCACGGCGUGCGCGGCGGGGCCGGCCCUGCUGAAUUAUUCACCCGUGUCUUUUGCGUACUUCUUGUUUCCUGGGUGGGCUCGCCCGCCCUCAGGACCAACCACAAACCUUUUGCAAUAGCAAUCAGCGUCAGUAACAACGUAAUUAAUUACAACUUUCAACAACGGAUCUCUUGGUUCUGGCAUCGAUGAAGAACGCAGCGAAAUGCGAUACGUAGUGUGAAUUGCAGAAUUCAGUGAAUCAUCGAAUCUUUGAACGCACAUUGCGCCCUUUGGUAUUCCAAAGGGCAUGCCUGUUCGAGCGUCAUUUGUACCCUCAAGCUUUGCUUGGUGUUGGGCGUCUUUUGUCUCCAGUUCGCUGGAGACUCGCCUUAAAGUCAUUGGCAGCCGGCCUACUGGUUUCGGAGCGCAGCACAAGUCGCGCUCUUCGCCAGCCAAGGUCAGCGUCCAGCAAGCCUUUUUUUUCAACCUUUGACCUCGGAUCAGGUAGGGAUACCCGCUGAACUUAAGCAUAUCAAUAAGCGGAGGAAAUGUCUCCGC